RNAcentral lists this ribosomal RNA (456 nucleotides) under uncultured bacterium. Its description in RNAcentral is "SSU rRNA". It matches the Rfam family "Bacterial small subunit ribosomal RNA", at positions 26 to 518 of the family's 1533-position model. The record is from RNAcentral.
AGAACGAACGCUGGCGGCAUGCCUAACACAUGCAAGUCGAACGCGGGGAGCAAUCUCUGCGUGGCGCACGGGUGAGUAACGCGUGGGAACCUGCCCUCGAGUGGGGGAUAACCCGGCGAAAGCCGGGGUAAUACCGCAUACGUCCCGUCGCAAGACGGGAGAAAGAUUUAUCGCUCGAGGAGGGGCCCGCGUCGGAUUAGCUAGUUGGUGAGGUAACGGCUCACCAAGGCGAUGAUCCGUAGCUGGUCUGAGAGGAUGAUCAGCCACACUGGGACUGAGACACGGCCCAGACUCCUACGGGAGGCAGCAGUGGGGAAUAUUGGACAAUGGGCGCAAGCCUGAUCCAGCAAUGCCGCGUGAGUGAUGAAGGCCUUAGGGUUGUAAAGCUCUUUCGCACGCGACGAUGAUGACGGUAGCGUGAGAAGAACGCCCGGCUAACUUCGUGCCAGCAGCCGC